UGGUGGGUGGAUUAUCUCUGCCUCGCCUUUCUAUGACACUUUCAAAUAAAUCAACAAAUCCUCCAGUGACAUGCAGGCUUGGGCCAUAACACACAGUGCCCAAGCAGCACACAGGGCCAGAUUCUUACAAGGGGCAGAUGAGCCUGGAGACCCUGGGUGGGGCUGACACCUUCUGUUCCCAGGGGAGCUGGAAGGAUGGCCACCCUCAGGUCCUAAUGCUGACCACGGACAGCACUCUUGACACUGUUCUAUCCAGCAUCUCUCAUUACAACUUAACAAUCUUCUUGUCAACACAUUGCCUGAAAUAAACUGUCACGAGGCACAGGGACCAUGCAGAUGUGACCAGGAGAAGGAACUCAAGGCACUUCUGUGCCAGUGAAAUUCAAGGUAUGCAGAGGAACCUGAUUUUGAAUUCUAACUUCAAGAACUGUAAGACAACUAAUGUGUGUUUGUGGUGUCCACCUUGCUCUCAGUGGGGAAGGAGACAAGAGAGGUGCUGUGGCUUGAACUGUGUUCCCACCCACAUGUGGAAGCUCUCCCACUCCCCACUCCCCACUCCCACCUUCCAAACAUGUCCAUCUUCAAUGAAUGAGGUCACAGGCCAGGACUGCAGCUGGCUAGGGCUGGCGGCCUGCUCAGAAAGGCAGAUGUCAGAAACCUCCAGCUCUCGCCCUGCCACACGAGCACCUGCUGAGAGGUAGUGCUCACAAGCCGCAGAAAGGAAGAGACAAACUCCCCUCUGUGGAUUCACUCUCCUGCUCAAGAUGACGAGGGCUGAGCUGGGGG
Molecule: long non-coding RNA, 786 nt
Organism: Ochotona princeps (American pika)
Lineage: Eukaryota; Metazoa; Chordata; Mammalia; Lagomorpha; Ochotonidae
Exons: 4
Source: RefSeq, a predicted model, not a curated record